RNAcentral lists this long non-coding RNA (1731 nucleotides) under Monomorium pharaonis (pharaoh ant). RNAcentral's name for it is "uncharacterized LOC118648764, transcript variant X3". Lineage: Eukaryota; Metazoa; Arthropoda; Insecta; Hymenoptera; Formicidae. The record is from RNAcentral.
CGGCGCGUUGACUAGCGCGCUUGUCAGUACCCUGAAAGCGCUUGCACGCUGCAUUUACAGCGUAAUCGCGACUGCACAGUCGCAUCGUGGUAUUUUACGAACUGCAUCGUGCUGCGUAUCCUCGUACCCUCGUUUCAUCGUUGCUAUGUAUCGGUGAUGUAGACUCGUUAAUAGACGUGUUGAGGGUGUCUGAGCUUGAAGAAGGGGUAGGCGCAAAGAGUAGUGCCGGAUCUCGUUAGAGGGUCGACAAUCAAAUCUGGGAUCGUGACACGCGAGGAAUGACAAAAAUCAAUAAAAGAAACAGAUUUUGUGUUUCAGACAUUAUUUAAAAACGAGACACCAGUGUUGCCACGAGAAAAUCAACCCUAAUCUCCGUCAAACGGUGCAAUAAAAGGACGACUUGAAAUAUACUGAAUCAGCUCGUGCUAAUCGGGCGCUACUCGAUGUUUGAGAAAGUCUCGACAUGACACGAAGCUAAACAAAGUGUAAGGAGAUCCUGCCGCUGUCAGCAUGUGGACGAAUCACUUGAUAGUGGAUCUAUCAACACGCGUAUGGCCGCUGCUUCCGUGCUGUUAAGUACGUGGACAAGUACGUACGUAAGGUUCAUGAAAAAGAACGCAUUUGUGAAAUAUAGAGAGACCUGCGAAAUAGAAUUACACAGAUUAAUAUUAAUAUUUAUUAUACAUUAUUUCUUAUAGUAAUAAGAAUUAUCAACAGAAAUUAAGUCAUUUUUAGAAAUUAUAUCACAAAUAUGAGUCCUCUACAUUUCAAGUCAAAUGCGGAGGUAUUUUCAAAAAAAGUGCGCCAGGCAUCUCCAAAUUAUUUUGGUUAACUAAUAUAGACAAUUGUUGCUGAAUGAUACAUUUAUGAAAAAACUGGUUUUGCACGGCAAAUUAUAAUUAUAAUAUAAUUAUGAGUAAUGCAUUUAUUUUCGAUAUUGAAAUAGUAUUGUAUGUACUUUUAUAUGUACCGUGUAGAAGUUAUCCUUUGGCCUUUAACAUCGUUACGUAUUAAAAUAUCAAAGAUAUAUAUAAGGUGUAAAAAACUAAAAAACCUGAAGUAAUUAAGACAAAGUUGAAUUAUAACCUACGUCAUAUUCUAAAUAUACGCACGCAUUAUCUUUAACUGAAGCGAGAUUUUAAUUAAACGUUCAAGAUACUGUGUAUAUUUCUAACUCUUUCCAAGUUAUUUCUUCAAGACAAACGUUGUCAAUUGUUCUACAAGCACAUAAUAUAACACAUGUCUCAAGGUUCUUUUAAAACUGCACGACACCAAGUUUGAUUUCCCAGUCAUGUCCCAGAUAUGGCCAUUUACUGUUUUAUACUUCUCUAUACUGUAAGCCUUUUUUAAACACGUGUUUAUACCGCAUGUAUGUCACAUUUAUAUCCCAUACUCUUUCAUCCGUCACCAAUUCCUUACUAUAUACCUCAUAAUCUGUAAGAGUGAAAGCGCAGCAAGAUUAGAUUCAUCCAGUGAACCGAAAAAUCUGGACUUGACUGCCGCACGGUCCCUCUUUGAUCAAUCGAGUGAUAGCAUCAUUAGCUAGCACCACUAUCAGCGGUCCCCAACAUCGUUAAUACCGGUAUGCUAGAACCGCGCUAUAGAGAUAGUAGCGGUUGUAAUAGUAGUCGCAGCCACCGUAGCCGUUGUAUAAUAGCGCUAAUUUUUUCGCUUGCGUUAUCACUAAUCACACCAAGUUAUUUAAGCUAGCAACCUGCGCACAUUGCCAAA